GGGUUGUGAGGUUAAGCGACUAAGCGUACACGGUGGAUGCCCUGGCAGUCAGAGGCGAUGAAGGACGUGCUAAUCUGCGAAAAGCGCCGGCGAGGUGAUAUGAACCUUUGACCCGGCGAUGUCCGAAUGGGGAAACCCAGUGUGAUUCGUCACACUAUCGUUAACUGAAUACAUAGGUUAACGAGGCGAACCGGGGGAACUGAAACAUCUAAGUACCCCGAGGAAAAGAAAUCAACCGAGAUUCCCCCAGUAGCGGCGAGCGAACGGGGAGCAGCCCAGAGUCUGAAUCAGCUUGUGUGUUAGUGGAAGCGUCUGGAAAGUCGCACGGUACAGGGUGACAGUCCCGUACACGAAAGCACACAGGUUGUGAACUCGAAGAGUAGGGCGGGACACGUGGUAUCCUGUCUGAAUAUGGGGGGACCAUCCUCCAAGGCUAAAUACUCCUGACUGACCGAUAGUGAACCAGUACCGUGAGGGAAAGGCGAAAAGAACCCCGGCGAGGGGAGUGAAAAAGAACCUGAAACCGUGUACGUACAAGCAGUGGGAGCACCUUCGUGGUGUGACUGCGUACCUUUUGUAUAAUGGGUCAGCGACUUAUAUUCUGUAGCAAGGUUAACCGUAUAGGGGAGCCGAAGGGAAACCGAGUCUUAACUGGGCGUUAAGUUGCAGGGUAUAGACCCGAAACCCGGUGAUCUAGCCAUGGGCAGGUUGAAGGUUGGGUAACACUAACUGGAGGACCGAACCGACUAAUGUUGAAAAAUUAGCGGAUGACUUGUGGCUGGGGGUGAAAGGCCAAUCAAACCGGGAGAUAGCUGGUUCUCCCCGAAAGCUAUUUAGGUAGCGCCUCGUGAACUCAUCUUCGGGGGUAGAGCACUGUUUCGGCUAGGGGGCCAUCCCGGCUUACCAACCCGAUGCAAACUACGAAUACCGAAGAAUGUUAUCACGGGAGACACACGGCGGGUGCUAACGUCCGUCGUGAAGAGGGAAACAACCCAGACCGCCAGCUAAGGUCCCAAAGUCAUGGUUAAGUGGGAAACGAUGUGGGAAGGCACAGACAGCCAGGAUGUUGGCUUAGAAGCAGCCAUCAUUUAAAGAAAGCGUAAUAGCUCACUGGUCGAGUCGGCCUGCGCGGAAGAUGUAACGGGGCUAAACCAUGCACCGAAGCUGCGGCAGCGACACUAUGUGUUGUUGGGUAGGGGAGCGUUCUGUAAGCCGUUGAAGGUGUGCUGUGAGGCAUGCUGGAGGUAUCAGAAGUGCGAAUGCUGACAUAAGUAACGAUAAAGCGGGUGAAAAGCCCGCUCGCCGGAAGACCAAGGGUUCCUGUCCAACGUUAAUCGGGGCAGGGUGAGUCGACCCCUAAGGCGAGGCCGAAAGGCGUAGUCGAUGGGAAACAGGUUAAUAUUCCUGUACUUGGUGUUACUGCGAAGGGGGGACGGAGAAGGCUAUGUUAGCCGGGCGACGGUUGUCCCGGUUUAAGCAUGUAGGCGGAGGUUCCAGGUAAAUCCGGUACCUUAUUAACGCUGAGGUGUGAUGACGAGGCACUACGGUGCUGAAGUAACAAAUGCCCUGCUUCCAGGAAAAGCCUCUAAGCAUCAGGUAACAUCAAAUCGUACCCCAAACCGACACAGGUGGUCAGGUAGAGAAUACCAAGGCGCUUGAGAGAACUCGGGUGAAGGAACUAGGCAAAAUGGUGCCGUAACUUCGGGAGAAGGCACGCUGAUAUGUAGGUGAAGCCCCUGCGGGUGGAGCUGAAAUCAGUCGAAGAUACCAGCUGGCUGCAACUGUUUAUUAAAAACACAGCACUGUGCAAACACGAAAGUGGACGUAUACGGUGUGACGCCUGCCCGGUGCCGGAAGGUUAAUUGAUGGGGUUAGCGGUAACGCGAAGCUCUUGAUCGAAGCCCCGGUAAACGGCGGCCGUAACUAUAACGGUCCUAAGGUAGCGAAAUUCCUUGUCGGGUAAGUUCCGACCUGCACGAAUGGCGUAAUGAUGGCCAGGCUGUCUCCACCCGAGACUCAGUGAAAUUGAACUCGCUGUGAAGAUGCAGUGUACCCGCGGCAAGACGGAAAGACCCCGUGAACCUUUACUAUAGCUUGACACUGAACACUGGUCCUUGAUGUGUAGGAUAGGUGGGAGGCUUUGAAGUGUGGACGCCAGUCUGCAUGGAGCCGUCCUUGAAAUACCACCCUUUAAUGGCUGGUGUUCUAACGUAGACCCGUAAUCCGGGUUGCGGACAGUGUCUGGUGGGUAGUUUGACUGGGGCGGUCUCCUCCCAAAGAGUAACGGAGGAGCACGAAGGUUAGCUAAUCCUGGUCGGACAUCAGGAGGUUAGUGCAAUGGCAUAAGCUAGCUUGACUGCGAGAGUGACGGCUCGAGCAGGUGCGAAAGCAGGUCAUAGUGAUCCGGUGGUUCUGAAUGGAAGGGCCAUCGCUCAACGGAUAAAAGGUACUCCGGGGAUAACAGGCUGAUACCGCCCAAGAGUUCAUAUCGACGGCGGUGUUUGGCACCUCGAUGUCGGCUCAUCACAUCCUGGGGCUGAAGUAGGUCCCAAGGGUAUGGCUGUUCGCCAUUUAAAGUGGUACGCGAGCUGGGUUUAGAACGUCGUGAGACAGUUCGGUCCCUAUCUGCCGUGGGCGCUGGAGAAUUGAGGGGGGCUGCUCCUAGUACGAGAGGACCGGAGUGGACGCAUCACUGGUGUUCGGGUUGUCAUGCCAAUGGCACUGCCCGGUAGCUAAAUGCGGAAAAGAUAAGUGCUGAAAGCAUCUAAGCACGAAACUUGCCCCGAGAUGAGUUCUCCCUGAGACUUUAAGUCUCCUGAAGGAACGUUGAAGACGACGACGUUGAUAGGUCGGGUGUGUAAGCGCAGCGAUGCGUUGAGCUAACCGAUACUAAUGAACCGUGAGGCUUAACCUUACAACGCCGAAG
This 2926-nucleotide ribosomal RNA is filed under the name Enterobacter roggenkampii. Its description in RNAcentral is "23S ribosomal RNA". It matches the Rfam family "Bacterial large subunit ribosomal RNA". Lineage: Bacteria; Pseudomonadati; Pseudomonadota; Gammaproteobacteria; Enterobacterales; Enterobacteriaceae. The record is from RNAcentral.